This 460-nucleotide ribosomal RNA is filed under the name uncultured bacterium. RNAcentral describes it as "partial 16S ribosomal RNA". It matches the Rfam family "Bacterial small subunit ribosomal RNA", at positions 338 to 795 of the family's 1533-position model. The record is from RNAcentral.
CCUACGGGAGGCAGCAGUGAGGAAUAUUGGUCAAUGGACGAGAGUCUGAACCAGCCAAGUAGCGUGAAGGAUGACUGCCCUAUGGGUUGUAAACUUCUUUUAUAAGGGAAUAAAACUAGGUACGUGUGCCGUUUUGCAUGUACUUUAUGAAUAAGGAUCGGCUAACUCCGUGCCAGCAGCCGCGGUAAUACGGAGGAUCCGAGCGUUAUCCGGAUUUAUUGGGUUUAAAGGGAGCGUAGAUGGGUUGUUAAGUCAGUUGUGAAAGUUUGCGGCUCAACCGUAAAAUUGCAGUUGAUACUGGCAGUCUUGAGUACAGUUGAGGUAGGCGGAAUUCGUGGUGUAGCGGUGAAAUGCUUAGAUAUCACGAAGAACCCCGAUUGCGAAGGCAGCUUACUAGACUGUAACUGACGUUGAUGCUCGAAAGUGUGGGUAUCAAACAGGAUUAGAUACCCGUGUAGUC